GAUGAACGCUGACAGAAUGCUUAACACAUGCAAGUCUACUUGAACUUCGGUUUGGGUGGCGGACGGGUGAGUAACGCGUACAGAACUUGCCUCACAGAUAGGGACAACAUUUGGAAACGAAUGCUAAUACCUGAUAUUAUGAUUUUAGGGCAUCCUAGAAUUAUGAAAGCUAUAUGCACUGUGAGAGAGCUUUGCGUCCCAUUAGCUAGUUGGAGAGGUAACGGCUCACCAAGGCGAUGAUGGGUAGCCGGCCUGAGAGGGUGAUCGGCCACAAGGGGACUGAGACACGGCCCUUACUCCUACGGGAGGCAGCAGUGGGGAAUAUUGGACAAUGGACCAAGAGUCUGAUCCAGCAAUUCUGUGUGCACGAUGAAGUUUUUCGGAAUGUAAAGUGCUUUCAGUUGGGAAGAAAAAAAUGACGGUACCAACAGAAGAAGUGACGGCUAAAUACGU
Molecule: ribosomal RNA, 453 nt
Filed under: uncultured bacterium
Lineage: Bacteria
Description: partial 16S ribosomal RNA
Rfam family: Bacterial small subunit ribosomal RNA
Source: RNAcentral